AUCUGUGGUGACACAGACAUAUAGUGAAGCGCUCUAUAUGGCUUGGCAGAGCUUUAAAACUGUU
RNAcentral lists this small RNA (64 nucleotides) under Streptococcus phage Javan549. Its description in RNAcentral is "Bacilli-1 RNA". It matches the Rfam family "Bacilli-1 RNA". The record is from Rfam by way of RNAcentral. Lineage: Duplodnaviria; Heunggongvirae; Uroviricota; Caudoviricetes.